UAUGAGGUGGUCGAUAAUUAAAGUCGGUAGAUUGUAAAUCUAUGUAUAAGUUUAACUUUCUCGUAA
This 66-nucleotide transfer RNA is filed under the name Sepioloidea lineolata. RNAcentral's name for it is "tRNA-Tyr". Lineage: Eukaryota; Metazoa; Mollusca; Cephalopoda; Sepiida; Sepiadariidae. The record is from RNAcentral.